CCUACGGGCGGCAGCAGUGGGGAAUAUUGGACAAUGGGCGAAAGCCUGAUCCAGCCAUGCCGCGUGUGUGAAGAAGGCCUUCGGGUUGUAAGGCACUUUCAGUGGGGAAGAAAGCCUUGGGGCUAAUACCCUCGAGGAAGGACAUCACCCACAGAAGAAGCACCGGCUAACUCCGUGCCAGCAGCCGCGGUGAAUACGGAGGGUGCGAGCGUUAAUCGGAAUUACUGGGCGUAAAGCGCGCGUAGGCGGUCUGAUAAGCCGGUUGGGAAAGCCCCGGGCUCAACCUGGGAACGGCAUCCGGAACUGUCAGGCUAGAGUGCAGGAGAGGAAGGUAGAAUUCCCGGUGUAGCGGUGAAAUGCGUAGAGAUCGGGAGGAAUACCAGUGGCGAAGGCGGCCUUCUGGACUGACACUGACGCUGAGGUGCGAAAGCGUGGGUAGCAAACAGGAUUAGAUACCCGGGUAGUC
This 466-nucleotide ribosomal RNA is filed under the name Vreelandella stevensii. RNAcentral's name for it is "partial 16S ribosomal RNA". It matches the Rfam family "Bacterial small subunit ribosomal RNA", at positions 338 to 795 of the family's 1533-position model. The record is from RNAcentral. Lineage: Bacteria; Pseudomonadati; Pseudomonadota; Gammaproteobacteria; Oceanospirillales; Halomonadaceae.